UACGGAGGGUGCAAGCGUUAAUCGGAAUUACUGGGCGUAAAGGGCACGCAGGCGGUUUUUUAAGUUAGAUGUGAAAUCCCCGGGCUCAACCUAGGAAAUGCAUUUGAAACUGGCAAUCUUGAGUAUGGUAGGGGGGGGUAGAAUUCCAGGUGUAGCGGUGAAAUGCGUAGAGAUCUGGAGGAAUACCGGUGGCGAAGGCGGCCCCCUGGACGGAGACUGACGCUCAGGUGCGAAAGCGUGGGGAGCAAACAGG
RNAcentral lists this ribosomal RNA (253 nucleotides) under uncultured bacterium. Its description in RNAcentral is "partial 16S ribosomal RNA". It matches the Rfam family "Bacterial small subunit ribosomal RNA", at positions 524 to 776 of the family's 1533-position model. The record is from RNAcentral.